This is a long non-coding RNA of Lacerta agilis (Sand lizard), 447 nucleotides long. RefSeq lists it as uncharacterized. The record is from RefSeq and is a predicted model, not a curated record. The transcript is spliced from 2 exons. Lineage: Eukaryota; Metazoa; Chordata; Lepidosauria; Squamata; Lacertidae.
GCUCUUCCCCAAGGGCUGUCAGGGAUUUGCUGAGACCCCAGGGACGAUCUCUGAGGAUUCCCCAGCGCGCGCCCACCCCAAGAUAUAGAGAGAUGAUUGAAAUUUUAGGUGAAGUUCCAAGCAGGAGACUCCUCCGUCGCGUAAGGAAAUGAAAUGCCUCUUGUCGUAAUUGGAUUCAGCGGACUAACUUGUCAGGCCCGCAGCUUGGAGGCAAAAGGGACUCUAAAGGGGACAAACAAAUUCGGUAAAGUUGGAUUUGGUCUACGAUGAAGGUUGAAGAUCAACCUUGUCCUCAUUGCUUAAUAGAAAGCUCCUGGUGUUGGGGAAGCAUCUGAUCUCUGUCCUGCUCUAUCCUAACUCUCGCUUGUAUUUAUGUCUGUGUAGAAACCUUCUUCAGAUACAGCCAUCUCGCGAGUUUGUCACACAAAUAAUGUCCGAAGCAAGUCA